This 5430-nucleotide long non-coding RNA is filed under the name Vitis vinifera (wine grape). RNAcentral's name for it is "long non-coding RNA (VVIN_LNC003540)". The record is from RNAcentral. Lineage: Eukaryota; Viridiplantae; Streptophyta; Magnoliopsida; Vitales; Vitaceae.
GGUCAACAAAUAACACUCAAACAUAAAAGAGAAUAAUGAAGAACAAUGCAAAAUGGAGGAGAAUAGGGGAUACGGAGGAAACUUACCUGACAAGUAUUUCCCCAUAAACUUCUCUUUACCUCGAGAAACUUGAAAAUUCUACCCUUACGCUUAUAGAAGGUAGCGAAAGGUGUAGAGAUCAAAUGUAAAAGCGAGAAUUACAAAAUUAACUCUUAAGGCUUAAUAUGGUUGAAAGGAAAUCAAAUUCUGCCCAUACGAAACUAAAGAAAUGAGGAAUAGACAACGCAACAUCAAGAUAAAAACAAAGAAAGAAAUUAUUGGAUUCAAUAUUAAUUUUCUAGAACACACAUAUAGUAAACAUAUAACACGAAAACAUAAAAGAUAAAUAAGAAGAACAACGCAAAAUUUGAGAGAAUAGGGAAUAUGGAGAAAACUUAUCGAAGAACUAAUUCCCAAUAAACUUCUCUUGACAAGGGGAAACCUAAAAAUUCUACCCUUACGCUUAAAGCAAUGUAGAGAAAGGAGUAGAGAUCAAAUUUUAAAACCACAAUGUACUUGAAAGUAAAUAAAAUUUUUUUGAUAAGAAACUAAAGAAAUGAAAAAUAGAAAACACAACAUAGAGCUCUAAAAAAAACAAUGAAAUCAAAGGAUUGAAAAUUCAUUAUCUACUAGAUACACGCAGUGAACAAAUAACACUCAAAUAUAAAAGAGAAGAAUAAAGAACAAUGCGAAAUGGAGGAGAAUAGGGGAUACGGAGAAAACUUACCUGACAAGUAUUUUCAAACAAACUUCUCCUUUCCUCGGGAAACCUGAAAAUUCUACUUUCACGCUUACCUAACAAGUAUGUGUACUAGAAAAUUAAUUUUGAAUUCGUUAAUUUCUUUAUUUGUUUUUUAUCUUGAUCUUGCGUUGUCUAUUCCUCAUUUCUUUAGUUUUGUACCUGCAUAAUUUGAUUUUCUUUCAAUGAUAUUGUUCCUUAAGAGUUAAUUUUGUUAUUCUCAUUUUUACGUUUGAUUAAGCGUAAGGGUAAAAUUUUCAAGUUUCCCGAGGAAAAGUGAGGUUUGUUUGAAAAUACUUGUCAGGUAAGUUUUCUCCGUAUCCCCUAUUCUCCUCCAUUUCGCAUUGUUCUUCAUUCUUCUCUUUUAUAUUUGAGUGUUAUUUGUUCACUGCGUGUAUCUAGUAGAUAAUGAAUUUUCAAUCCUUUGAUGUCAUUGUCUUUUUUAGAACUCUAUGUUGUGUUUUCUAUUUUUCAUUUCUUUAGUUUCUUAUCAAAAAAAUUUUAUUUACUUUCAAGUACAUUGUGGUUUUAAAAUUUGAUCUCUACUCCUUUCUCUACCUUGCUUUUAGCGUAAGGGUAGAAUUUUUAGGUUUCCUCUAGUUCAGAGAAGGUUAUUAGGAAUUAGUUCUUCCAUAAGUUUUCUCCAUGUUCCCUAUUCUAUCAAAUUUUGCAUUGUUAUUCUUAUUUAUUUUUUAUGUUUUCGUGUUAUAUGUUUACUAUAUGUGUGUUCUAGAAAAUUAAUAUUGAAUCAAAUAAUUUCUUUCUUUGUUUUUAUCUUGAUGUUGCGUUGUCUAUUCCUCAUUUCUUUAGUUUCGUAUGGGCAGAAUUUGAUUUCCUUUACAACAUAUUAAGCCUUAAGAGUUAAUUUUCUAAUUCUCGUUUUUACAUUUGAUCUCUACACUUUUCGCUACCUUCUAUAAGCGUAAGGGUAGAAUUUUCAAGUUUCUCGAGGUAAAGAGAAGUUUAUGGGGAAAUACUUGUCAGGUAAGUUUCCUCCGUAUCCCCUAUUCUCCUCCAUUUUGCAUUGUUCUUUAUUAUUCCCUUUUAUGUUUGAGUGUUAUUUGUUGACCGCUUGUGUGUAGUAAAGAAUUAAUUUUCAAUCCUUUGAUUCCUUUGUUUGUUUUUAAAAGCUUGAUGUUGUGUUUUUUAUUCCUUAUUUCUUUAGUUUCGUAUCAGAAUAAUUUGAUUUAUUUUCAAGGACAUUGUGGUUUUAACAUUUGAUAUCUACUCCUUUCUCUAUCUUGCUUUAAGAAGAAUGGUAGAAUUUUCAGGUUUUCCGUGGUAAAGAGAAGUUUAUUGGGAAUUANNNNNNNNNNNNNNNNNNNNNNNNNNNNNNNNNNNNNNNNNNNNNNNNNNNNNNNNNNNNNNNNNNNNNNNNNNNNNNNNNNNNNNNNNNNNNNNNNNNNAACAGUGCAAAAUUUGAGAGAAUAGGGAAUACGGAGGAAACUUAUUCAAGAACUAAUUCCCAAUAAACUUCUCUUUACCACGAGAAACCUGAAAAUUCUACCCUUAUGCUUAAUGCAAGGUAGAGAAAGGAGUAGAGAUAAAAUGUUAAAACCACAAUAUCCUUAAGAGUAAAUAAAAUUAUUCGGAUACGAAACUAAAGAUAUGAGCAAUAGAAAACACAACAUUAAACUUUUAAAAACAAACAAAGGAAUCAAAGGAUUGAAAAUUAAUUCUAUACUACACACAAGCGGUCAACAAAUAACACUCAAACAUAAAAGAGAAUAAUGAAGAAGAAUGCAAAAUGGAGGAGAAUAUGGGAUACGGAGGAAACUUACUUGACAAGUAUUUCCUCAUAAACUUCUCUUUACCUCGAGAAACUUGAAAAUUCUACCCUUACGCUUAUAGAAGGUAGCGAAAGGUAUAGAGAUCAAAUGUAAAAACGAGAAUUACAAAAUUAACUCUUAAGGCUUAAUAUGGUUGAAAAGGAAAUCAAAUUUUGCCGAUACGAAACUAAAGAAAUGAGGAAUAGACAACGCAACAUCAAGAUAAAAACAAAGAAAGAAAUUAUUGGAUUGAAUAUUAAUUUUCUAGAACACACAUAUAGUAAACAUAUAACACGAAAACAUAAAAGAUAAAUAAGAAGAACAACGCAAAAUUUGAGAGGAUAGGGAAUAUGGAGAAAACUUAUCGAAGAACUAAUUCCCAAUAAACUUCUCUUGACAAGGGGAAACCUAAAAAUUCUACCAUUACGCUUAAAGUAAGGUAGAGAAAGGAGUACAGAUCAAAUUUUAAAACCACAAUGUACUUGAAAGUAAAUAAAAUUUUUUUGAUAAGAAACUAAAGAAAUGAAAAAUAGAAAACACAACAUAGAGCUCUAAAAAAACAAUGAAACCAAAGGAUUGAAAAUUCAUUAUCUACUAGAUACACGCAGUGAACAAAUAACACUCAAAUAUAAAAGAGAAGAAUAAAGAACAAUGCGAAAUGGAGGAGAAUAGGGGAUACGGAGAAAACUUACCUGACAAGUAUUUUCAAACAAACUUCUCUUUUCCUCGGGAAACCUGAAAAUUUUACUUUCACGCUUACCUGACAAGUAUGUGUGUACUAGAAAAUUAAUUUUGAAUUCGUUAAUUUCUUUAUUUGUUUUUUAUCUUGAUCUUGCGCUUGUCUCUUCCUCAUUUCUUUAGUUUUGUACCUGCAUAAUUUGAUUUCCUUUUAACGAUAUUGUGCCUUAAGAGUUAAUUUUCUUGUUCUCAUUUUUACAUUUGAUCUCUACUCCUUUUGCUCCAUUCAAUAAGCGUAAGGGUAGAAUUUUCAGGUUUCCCGAGGAAAAGAGAAGUUUGUUUGAAAAUACUUGUCAGGUAAGUUUUCUCUAUAUCCCCUAUUCUCCUCCAUUUCGCAUUGUUCUUCAUUCUUCUCUUUUAUAUUUGAGUGUUAUUUGUUCACUGCGUAUAUCUAGUAGAUAAUGAAUUUUCAAUCCUUUUAUUUCAUUGCUUUUUUUAGAGCUCUAUGUUUUGUUUUCUAUUUCUCAUUUCUUUAGUUUCUUAUCAAAAAAAUUUUAUUUACUUUCAAGUACAUUGUGGUUUUAAAAUUUGAUCUCUACUCCUUUCUCUACCUUGCUUUGAGCGUAAGGGUAGAAUUUUUAGAUUUCCCCUUGUCAAGAGAAGUUUAUUGGGAAUUAGUUCUUCGAUAAGUUUUCUCCAUAUUCUCUAUUCUCUCAAAUUUUGCGUUGUUCUUCUUAUUUAUCUGUUAUGUUUUCGUGUUAUAUGUUUACUAUAUGUGUGUUCUAGAAAAUUAAUAUUCAAUCCAAUAAUUUCUUUCUUUGUUUUUUAUCUUGAUGUUGCCUUGUCUAUUCCUCAUUUCUUUUGUUUCGUAUCGGCAGAAUUUGAUUUCCUUUCAACCAUAUUAAGCCUUAAGAGUUAAUUUUCUAAUUUUCGUUUUUACAUUUGAUCUCUACACCUUUCGCUACCUUCUAUAAGCGUAAGGGUAGAAUUUUCAAGUUUCUCGAGGUAAAGAGAAGUUUAUGAGGAAAUACUUGUCCAGUAAGUUUCCUCCGUAUCCCCUAUUCUCCUCCAUUUUGCAUUGUUCUUCAUUAUUCUCUUUUAUGUUUGAGUGUUAUUUGUUGACCGUUUGUGUGUAAUAGAGAAUUAAUUUUCAAUCCUUUGAUUCCUUUGUUUGUUUUUAAAAGUUUGAUGUUGUUUUUUCUAUUGCUCAUAUCUUUAGUUUCGUAUCCGAAUAAUUUUAUUUACUCUCAAGGACAUUGUGGUUUUAACAUUUGAUCUCUACUCCUUUCUCUACCUUGCAUUAAGCAUAAGGGUAGAAUUUUCAGGUUUCUCGUGGUAAAGAGAAGUUUAUUGGGAAUUAGUUCUUGAAUAAGUUUCCUCCGUAUUUCCUAUUCUCUCAAAUUUUGCACUGUCUACUGUAUGAGUGUACGAAAAAAUUACUUUUGAACCCGUUAAAAAAACAAAAAAUGGUAAACGAACUAAUUCCCAAUAAACUUCUCUUUACCUACAAAAACUUAAAAACUCAAACCCUCUUCUUAACGCUCGGUAUAGAUAGGAGUAUAGAUCAAAUGUAAAAACAAAAAUUUCCUUGAAAGUAAAAAUUAUUAUUCGGAUACUAAUCNAAAGAUAUGAGCAAUAGAAAAAACUACAUCAACUUUUAAUAAACAACAAAGGAAUCAAAGGAUUGAAAAUUAAUUCUCAAUUACACACAAACGGUCAACAAAUAACACUCAAACAUAAAAGAGAAUAAUUAAUAACAAUGCAAAAUGGAGGAGAAUAUGGGAUACGGAGGAAACUUACCUGACAAGUAUUUCCCCAUAAACUUCUCUUUACCUCGAGAAACUUGAAAAUUCUACCCUUACGCUUAUAGAAGGUAGCGAAAGGUGUAGAGAUCAAAUGUAAAAACGAGAAUUAGAAAAUUAACUCUUAAGGCUUAAUAUGGUUGAAAGGAAAUCAAAUUCUGCCGGUACGAAACUAAAGAAAUGAGGAAUAGACAACGCAACAUCAAGAUAAAAAACAAAGAAAGAAAUUAUUGGAUUCAAUAUUAAUUUUCUAGAACACACAUAUAGUAAACAUAUAAUACGAAAACAUAAAAGAUAAAUAAGAAGAAUAACGCAAAAUUUGAGAGAAUAGGAAAUAUGGAGAAAACUUAUCGAAGAACUAAUUCCCAAUAAACUUCUCUUGACAAGGGGAAACCUAAAAAUU